This 246-nucleotide ribosomal RNA is filed under the name uncultured bacterium. RNAcentral's name for it is "partial 16S ribosomal RNA". It matches the Rfam family "Bacterial small subunit ribosomal RNA", at positions 87 to 334 of the family's 1533-position model. The record is from RNAcentral.
UGGCUCGAGUGGCGAACGGGUGAGUAACACGUGAGUAACCUGCCCUUGACUUUGGGAUAACUUCAGGAAACUGGGGCUAAUACCGGAUAGGAGCUCCUGCUGCAUGGUGGGGGUUGGAAAGUUUCGGCGGUUGGGGAUGGACUCGCGGCUUAUCAGCUUGUUGGUGGGGUAGUGGCUUACCAAGGCUUUGACGGGUAGCCGGCCUGAGAGGGUGACCGGCCACAUUGGGGCUGAGAUACGGCCCAG